AAGGUAGUGUAGUUAACACCUGCACUAUUUGACGUUACCUACAGAAGAAGCACCGGCUAACUCCGUGCCAGCAGCCGCGGCAAUACGGAGGGUGCGAGCGUUAAUCGGAAUUACUGGGCGUAAAGCGCAUGCAGGCGGCCUGUUAAGUCAGAUGUGAAAGCCCGGGGCGUUAACCUCGGAAUUGCAUUUGUAAACUAGGCAGGCUAGAGUCUUGUAGAGGGGGGUAGGGAAUUUCUAGGUGUAGCGGUGAAAUAGCGUAGAGAUCUGAAGGAAUACCAGUGGCGAAGGCGGCCCCCUCGGACAAAGACUGACGCUCAGAUGCGAAAGCGUGGGGAGCAAACAGGAUUAGAUACCCUGGUAG
This 361-nucleotide ribosomal RNA is filed under the name uncultured bacterium. RNAcentral's name for it is "bacterial SSU rRNA". It matches the Rfam family "Bacterial small subunit ribosomal RNA", at positions 444 to 793 of the family's 1533-position model. The record is from RNAcentral.